This 464-nucleotide long non-coding RNA is filed under the name Vulpes vulpes (red fox). Its description in RNAcentral is "lncRNA (ENSVVUG00000017420.1)". The record is from RNAcentral. Lineage: Eukaryota; Metazoa; Chordata; Mammalia; Carnivora; Canidae.
GGAUUACAGCAAGGAUGAAGAUAGAUUGGGACUCUUAGUGGACUUCAUCCAUGUUGGACCUCUUAAAGUAGAGCAGUAGGAACAGACAGAAACAGUGUAGAAGAAGGACUUAUUCUCACAAAGGAUAUGAGUGACUAGAACUCUGGCAUAUGGUAGAUGCUCAAGAAGUAUUGUGGUAUGAUUCGUGACCUCAAUGGGUAGGACUGGAGAAAGAAAAGAGAUAUGACAAAACCAGGAAGGACAGAAAACUAAACAUGCGAAGCUGGAGAAGAUACCUGUGACAUGUUCAUCCCCAAAUGAUAGCAUUUGCGAUGCAACUCUAUGAUCUUCUGCUUCCUUGUUUAUAUAGAUGAUGAAUGUGUACAAAAUAUAACACAACUAACAGGAAAUGCUCACAGUUGGGAAAAUGUGCUUCAUGACUGAUAAAUUAGAUACCAGCUUCCAAAAGAACUACUAACAAUUUG